This 252-nucleotide ribosomal RNA is filed under the name uncultured Bacteroidales bacterium. RNAcentral's name for it is "partial 16S ribosomal RNA". It matches the Rfam family "Bacterial small subunit ribosomal RNA", at positions 524 to 776 of the family's 1533-position model. The record is from RNAcentral. Lineage: Bacteria; Pseudomonadati; Bacteroidota; Bacteroidia; Bacteroidales.
UACGGAGGAUGCGAGCGUUAUCCGGAUUUAUUGGGUUUAAAGGGUGCGUAGGCGGUAUGGUAAGUCAGCGGUAAAAGCCCGGGGCUCAACCCCGGCGAGCCGUUGAAACUGGCUGGCUUGAGUUGGGGAAAGGCAGGCGGAAUGCGCGGUGUAGCGGUGAAAUGCAUAGAUAUCACGCAGAACGCCGAUUGCGAAGGCAGCUUACCGGCGCUCAACUGACGCUGAAGCACGAAAGCGUGGGUAUCGAACAGG